This 253-nucleotide ribosomal RNA is filed under the name uncultured bacterium. RNAcentral describes it as "partial 16S ribosomal RNA". It matches the Rfam family "Bacterial small subunit ribosomal RNA", at positions 524 to 776 of the family's 1533-position model. The record is from RNAcentral.
UACGGGGGGGGCAAGCGUUGUUCGGAAUUACUGGGCGUAAAGCGUGCGUAGACGGUAGCGUAAGUCAGAUGUGAAAGCCCCGGGCUCAACCUGGGAAUUGCAUUUGAGACUGCUCUGCUCGGGUGCGGAAGAGGGAAGCGGAAUUUCCGGUGUAGCGGUGAAAUGCGUAGAUAUCGGAAGGAACACCAGUGGCGAAAGCGGCUUCCUGGUCCGACACCGACGUUCAGGCACGAAAGCGUGGGGAGCAAACAGG